Long non-coding RNA from Hibiscus syriacus, 219 nucleotides. RefSeq lists it as uncharacterized. The record is from RefSeq and is a predicted model, not a curated record. NCBI's taxonomy places the organism in Eukaryota, Viridiplantae, Streptophyta, Magnoliopsida, Malvales, Malvaceae. The transcript is spliced from 3 exons.
GCUAACAAUACUUUGAAUUUGCAAGAUGUUCAAGGUCUUGUUACUUGGGUUCUUGCCGAUGGAUUCAUGCCUUCCUGGGUUUUUAUUAACCUGUGUAUCCGAUGGGAUGCAGAAAAUAGACGCACUCCUGACGUGCAAGGUGAAGAGAAAGAGAAAUGUGAUCGAUUCAGUGAAGGAAAUAAGCCAGCCUGCUGAACAAUGUGCAAAAUCUAUCUUUGA